This is a long non-coding RNA of Vigna radiata var. radiata (mung bean), 2439 nucleotides long. RefSeq lists it as uncharacterized. The record is from RefSeq and is a predicted model, not a curated record. NCBI's taxonomy places the organism in Eukaryota, Viridiplantae, Streptophyta, Magnoliopsida, Fabales, Fabaceae. The transcript is spliced from 6 exons.
GAAAUGAUUCUCUUUGCUAACACAUGAAUAAUCCCUGAACCUGAAAAUAUAGUUCUUAUUUUUCACUCCUUUUUCCUUCUCUCGAAAACUCGCGGCCUUGAAGUCUUGUUGCCCUGGAAGGUUCUCGCUCUUACCGUGGAAGGCUCGUCACCCCGUCGAAGGCUCGUCGCGGUUGAAGACUCGCUGCUGUCAAAGGUUUUGCCGAAUUAUCGAAAAGGCUUUGCCACACUUUGCCGUCGUCGAACUGUCUCGAAGGUUCUAUUACCAUUGUCGAAGAUUCUGAGAACAGUUCUCCUGGAAAAGAGAAGCAACUAUGGAACCUAAGGUUUGAGGUUGUGCUGCAUUCCUUCUUCUUUUCUUCGUCUACUCUCACAAAUUUUGGAGAGGAUAAGAAGCGAACACUCGAUCAUCCUGAAUCCAAAGAAGAUUGCUAAAGCGACCCUAGUACUAGACACAAGUUAUAUUGCCAAGCCAGCUGCCUCAUGGCUUGAUGAUUUUCUAGUCUGGGUAUCUCUAGAAGUAUUUGGGUGUGCUAUUCUUGAGCUUGAACUUGAUGAAUUUCAGUCUUAGUUUAAGAAACUCACUUUAGUAGAAAAGUCUGUAAUUGCCUCUAAUUUGUCCAGACUACGAAAUUUGCACACAUUCUUGUUGUGUCUGAAGAUGGUUAUGUUAGCUUGUUUGAUACUCGUAGCAAAUGCUCCGAUACCUUAAACUUUGAAGAAAACACAAGUAUUUUUUUUUUUUUUCUUUAUUUGUUUUGAGUAAUAUGAUGAAAAGAAUAUAGAAGCGGCACAGGUUUUGUGGUCGAAUGAAAUUUUUUCCUUUUUAAUUCAGAAGAAGAGAAGAUCUGGGUUUUGUAUUAGAAUGUUGUUGUUGAUACUUGUUGGAUUAAGAUACAUGCAAUUCAUAUAUCUUUUAAUUCAUUUAAUACAUUAUUAUUUGAGCUAUUUAUUUUUGAUGUUUUGUGCAUGACUUGACAUAGAUUGUAAUUAUUUACAGGAGGACAGACAAAUUGGUCAUUGUUAAUGUUGAUCAAGCAGUAAGUCACUCUUACAUCCACAGUGUAAUAUGUUAUUCUGUGGAUGCAAGAGUGAUUUACUGUUUGAUUACCAUACACAGUGAGAAUUUGUCUGUUCUCUAUAAAUAAUUACAAACUGUGUCAAGUCAUGCACAAAAUACCAAAAAUAAAUAGCUCAAAUAAUAAUGUAUUAAAUGAAUUAAAAGAUAUAUAAAUUGCAUGUACCUUGAUCCAAUCAGUAUUAAAAACAAUUUUUUGAUGCGAAACCCAAUGGCAGAUCUUCUUUACCUCUGAGUUAAAAAAAAAAAUUUCACACAACCAACGACACAACUCUCUCGUUUCUAUAUUUCUUUCCUCAUAUAACUCAACAAAUAAAGAAGAACUAAGAAAAAAUACCUAUGUUUUCUUCAAAGUUUGAGGUAAUAUGUUGAAAUGACUCCAAAAACCCUAACACAACAGUCAGACCCAACAAACUGCAGAUGAACGCAUCAACACUGGCAAUCACGGGAUUGUGAGGGGCAUUGACACAGUAUAAGGUGUGCUCUAUGUCAUUACUCCUGUGCCACAUAGUUCCUUGGAAAAGGUCAACCUCUUGCCUACAGUAAAAGUUCAAUGGGUGGUGUCAAUGGAGCACAUGUUUCAUCUCAAGCAUGACGAACGAACUAUAAGGGAAAUGUUAGUUUCUGAAGGAUCUAGGUUUCUUUCUAUCUUGCAAACUAAACUUUUCUAAUAAUUCCUAAUUGUUAGGCUGCUUCCAUGAUAGUUAGUGUUUUUAUCUGAAUUGAUUGGUUUGACUAAUGAAUUGGUUUAUUUGAGCUUGUUGAAGUUUUGGAAUAUCUGAAAUUUAAAAAAUAUUGUUACUUAAAUGUGUCCAUGUCCUCAAUCAUCUAAAAAGGUUGGUUGGAAUUUUGUUCUAAAGAGAAAAUAUAUUUUUUUAUAUUUUCUCUAAGCUAUCAAUUAAUAAUGUUGGAUAAAUUGAAUCAUGAUUUUUAAGAUACAAAGAUUACCGUCUCAACAUAGAAUAAUUACUACAAAGUUGAGGCUUUAAUCUUUUACUACACUUAAAAAUCAUGAUCUAAUUUAUCUAACACCAUUAAUUGGUAACUCACAGAAAGAAUAAAAAAAAUAUAUUUUUCUUUUAGAAUAAAGUUCUAACUAAUCUUUUUAAUUGAUUGUGGACAUGGAUACUUCUGAUUAAUACUAUUUUUUAAUUUUUUGGUAUCCUAUAGUUUCAAUAGGCUGAAAUAAAUAAAUUUAUAAUCAAACCAGUCAAUUAAGAUAAAAACACUAGAAAAUCAAAUGUUCACGAAUUUUCCAACUAAGCUAUCCAAUUCGUUGAUACGAAAACCUGGUACUUGAAAUAUAUUUAUUGACUACUACUAAGCGGUAUGACUGAAUAUAUGUCAUAUUAUUAGAGCUAA